This is a long non-coding RNA of Hyalella azteca, 1529 nucleotides long. RefSeq lists it as uncharacterized. The record is from RefSeq and is a predicted model, not a curated record. The transcript has 19 exons. Lineage: Eukaryota; Metazoa; Arthropoda; Malacostraca; Amphipoda; Hyalellidae.
GGCCAAGCUUAAACUUCCACGCUCUAGCGCGGUCUGGGAGCGGCAUUCAUUUUCCGCUUGACGCUGACUUUAGAAGGUUACUGGUUAUGGAUGAUAUGAUGGAUGUAGAGAGCAGGGAGAUUAUCAAAUUUGAAGUCUCGUUCUGCUCACAUGGAAUGGACAAUUGGGUGUGCUCAAUGCUUAGAGUUCAAUGUUGUCAACAAUGAUGCGGUCUUGAUUGCUCAACUGUUAAUGCGCUGGGGCUGGAUGCGUUGAUUCUGCGCAAUGUUCCUCUCCUUGGUGUGGAUUGCAACCACUAACCACAGUUGCGAGUAAAAGAAUGCUACUCACCAAUAGGACAUCACCGUGCUUAACACGAGGAUCUCUGAAGCUGAACGCUUGCACCUGCUCAAAUUUCAAUGUUUUGUUGCAGCUUCCCUCGUCUUCGACUUGAAGGUUCGAAGCCAGGUGUUUGUUCUGCCGGAGGAGUAAUGCGACUAUUCGAACUGUCUAACAAAAGGAGGGAUGGAAGCAAUAGCAGUUUCCUUUGCCGUUAAAUCUACGAAUGAAACACUCAUCGUCUCGGCAGAACAUACUUUUUCGCAAGCAGUUAUUCGCCACGAGAUGCAUUGUCCAGUGGCCAUUACUAUCAGUACCUUUUAAGAGACUGAACUGAUGUCCAGAUCACGCUGCCGCCACUGUUGUGUUCUGUUUUCAGGGUGGUCACUGAGCGUAGCGGCUUGAUGUUAACUCGGCUCGCUUGAAGGCGUAAUUUUAAAACCUCACGUGGUCCAGUCGUUUCGACAACUGGCAACCCCAAGAAUGUACUCGACGUCGCAGCACCGCAAUCAACAGGGACGUGGAAAUGUGCCAUCGUCCUAUCAAGCAUUUGGACAGAUAACUGUGGCAGGACUUUGGUUGACUGAUAAUGACGUUUGCUUCACCUUCCCUGCUGCUCGUUUUCACGUUUUUUUUACUCUGCUGUAAUGAGAUCCAGAGGAGAGGCUAUAUCUAGUCGAGAACAAGAAACUUCUGGUGGAAUAUCGUCACAGGUCACUGUAUUCAUGAGCCCAGUUAUGCUCUUCUGACACUGCCAUCAGAAGUAAUCGCGACGACAGCAUCGUGCGCAGGUUGCCCCCUAAGUUCCGCUCUCUCGAGAUAUCUAAGUGAUGAGAACGGGCGGUUGUGGGCGAUUCUCCGGCGCAGCUGGGGACUGCGCGAGUCCUAACAUCUGUCUGCGGCUUCAGAGACUUAUGACGAACUGGCAUGCUGCAGAGAAAGCGCAAUGCUACGCGCAGGAAGGGGAUUGAUGCGCUGAACUGGAAACCCAUGAUGGAGGCAAAUGCAUGAAACGUUCGUGCUGCAAGCAAUUUUGGAGGUAGAGGCUGGUCAAUCUUCACGGAUUUCCGCGCUCUGCUGCUUUUGGAGUGACUGGUGCCCGAAGAUUUAUCCAACCAUCCGAAGGACUGCAUUGCUGUAAUUUACGUGUUCAAAAAUUAAUGCAAAAUGAGAGAUGCAUACUUAUCCUUAUUAAAGUCUUGUUGAAUUUC